Molecule: microRNA precursor, 57 nt
Filed under: Spodoptera frugiperda (fall armyworm)
Lineage: Eukaryota; Metazoa; Arthropoda; Insecta; Lepidoptera; Noctuidae
Description: microRNA sfr-mir-10453 precursor
Source: miRBase by way of RNAcentral
AUGAAUACGCGUAUCAAUGACAUUUGCACCGCGCAAAUGUCAUUGAUACGCGUAUUC